UUUUGCAUUCAUCAUCUCAUUUUCUUCCCACGGGAAUCUUGUGAGAGAAAUGCAGCUUCAACCCACUUUGUAGAUACAGAGACUGAGGCUGAAGGCUUUUCAAAUGGCGUGGUUGGCCCGGGAGACAGGACCUGUAUUUGCUGAGCACGUGCUCUGUAUUAAGCUCUAACAGACAUGAGGUCCAUCCUCGAGAGGCUUCCGAUCUAGCCCAGGGGAGGGCUUGAAUAGAAGCUAUGCAGGUAAAGCAACAGCUACAAACUGAGAUCAGGGCCAUGAAGGAGAAGAACCAGGUGUUUGAAAAGGAAAUAAGAAGAGGCUUACGUCGGUAAGGGGGACACCUCCCUGAGAAAGUGGCAUUUAUGCUGAGACGGAGGCUGAGUCACAGGAAGAGCUCCAGGUGAAGGGACCAGUGCGUGCAAAGGCCCUGAGGUGGGAAGGAUCUGGCAUGUUCCUGGAGCGGAGAAGUGGCCAGUGCGUCUGUGGGGAGAUGAGCAAGACCCAAACCUUUGCAAGGUGCCCCCAUGAUGAGCCAAGCCUUCUGGUGUAGAGCUGAACUCUAAGUCAGAGUUCUGACUUCAGUCUAGAGACUUCUCCAUACCUCUCUGGGGCCUGGUCAGCCCCAGCUUUGGGCAGAGCCCCACCCUGCCACAAGGGAGACCCUAGGCUCUGCCUGACCACCUCAUCUGUCACGAUCCCCCCCUCCCCCCCACCGCAGUAUACAGACAACCCCACCAGUGUGGCCUUGUGUUCCCUGCCUGGUGUGGACCUUCCACCUCUCCCGGACUACCCCCUUCCUUGAGCCGACAGGCAGCAUUCCUCCGAGUCAGGGAGCGGGGGCCGUGGGGGCGAGCCGAGGGAGGGCUGUGCAGGCUUUCAGGAGCAUUACAUCUGGAGAGGGAGACCGGAAUGUUUGUGUCUGAAAUUUAGCUAAUAUCCCAGGAAUUUCUCCUGGCGGUUCAGAGGGUUCCUAGGGGGACUGCAAAGCUGGGAUGUCUGGGUUCUGGAGGCGGGCUGGCCUCGCUCAAAGCCUCUUUGUCCUCGUGGCUCUGCCUGUGUCGAUCUGGCUAGGCAUCUGUGUGCCUUUGUGUGUGUGUGUGUGUGUGUGUGUGUGUGUGUGUCUGUGGGUACCUGAGUAUCUUUCUUGGUCUACAUCAUGGUGUGACUGGAGUCUCUGUGUCUCUCCGAUUCGUGGUACGUCAGUGGGUGAGUCCCUGCUGUCUGUGUGUCCUUGUCGCUUGUCUGUACAGCCAUCCGUCUCUGCCCUUUGCCUUUGCAGAGGUGUGGCUCUCUCUGGGACUCGGGCUUCACCUCCUGUCCCUCCUUCUCCACCCUAGGGCUAGGGCUGGGUUGUGCCCUCCCUAUUAGUAGGGAACAGACUACAGACAAAGAAGAAAGAGUAAGGGGUAGGAGAGACAGAGUCGGGAGACGAGUUCAUGUGUGUGUUGCGGAGGGCGGGGGGGGGGGGUGUAUCUGUUCCUCUGCCCGGUCAGGGAAGGGCCCUUGCAGGCCAAACCCUGCCUUCAGCCCCGCCACAAAGAAGCAGUUCCCUCACGCUGCCCAUGAGUCCUCCGGCUCAGUAGCCCGAGUCACACCCCACCCUCCUGCCCUCUCCCUUCCUCCCAUUUGGUCACAAAGCAUUGUUUCAUCCUCCAGCCGAGUCCCCUCUCCCCUGCUCCCCACCAUGCCCUCGCCUCUUCCCGCUCGGUGCUCUGUCCUGGUCCCCCACCCUCCAGUCUGAUGUGGCCACAUCACACUUUUGGGAGCAUGUCGUGCCUUCCCUACUCAAAGGACUCCUUCUUAGGAACCUCUUGGAGCCACUCACUCACCCCUUCUGCCCGGAAGCCUCCCUGGACUCCCCAGGCAGGGAGAAGGCUCCUUGCUCCGAUCCCCUUGUAUUUUUUCCUACGAGCUUCUGUGACCCUCGCCCCUCAGGCUGGGGUUGUCCACCUCCUGGACUCCUGUCUCCCUGUAGACGGCAAGAGAGAGGGCAUGGUUUGGCUAUAUUUCCCACCACUGCCUGGAACACAGGGAUCUCCACAAUACCUGCUCUGGAUGAGCAGAGGGCCCCCAAGGCCCUUAAGGCACAGCACGCGAAGACCCCGACACCGGCCCAGGUGCCCCGGACCCCGCCGAUGCUCAGCAGCCUUUGAAGCCAAGCACAGGUCACCCCCCGCAGUGUCGCCCAUGGCUGCCUGCUGGCCUCUCAGCCCCAGAGCCGCCAUCAUACAGCCCCUCAGGGGCCUCCGACCGCUGGAGGCCUCGUCACCUGUCCUGGAAACAUCUCAAACACACGGACAGUCCAUUCUAAACGUUUCAUUCUUUAUGUGGUGUAUUCGUUUUCUAGGGCUGUUGUAACACAUACCACAAGUUGGGUGGCUUAGAACAGUCCUGAAGGCCAGAGGUCUGACAUCAGGGUGUUGGUGGCGCCUUGCUCCCUCUCGAGGCCCCAGGGAGGAUCCCUCCUGGCCUCUUCCGGCCUCUGGCGGUUGCUGGCAAUCCUUGGUGUUCCCUGGCCCGUAGACACAUCCCUCCAGUCCUCCCUUCUGCCUUCACGCGGCUUUCCCCUGUGUGUAUCUGUGUCUCAGAUCUCCGUCUCCUUGUGAGGCCCACCCGCAAUCCAGAACGCUCUCUCGUCCUGAUCCUUAAUUACAUCAGCAAAGGCCUGAUUGCCAAAUGAAGAGACGGUUCACCUUCCCGGGUACUGGGUGUGUCAGGACUUGGGCAUAUCGGGUGAAGGAACGUAAUCCGGCUCACUUCAUGGCAGCUGUAGUUCUAGAAACUCAACAAUAGCCCGUCGACCUGAGCGGUUGAUGAUGACAAAUAACAGAGCCCCCAGGACUGUCUGGGUUAGAGGUCCCCUAGCACACCUGGCAGCCGGCCCCCCACACGGUCUCUGGGUAAGCUGAAACACCUGCGGACACAGAAAGCCCAUCACGCCCCGUGCACGCUAGCUUACGAGGAGGCCCGGGGUGGGCGGCCAGGCUGUCAGGAAAUACGGAGGAAGAAGGAAAGGUGCCUCCUUCCUUCCUGAGGGCUCAAGGCUUCGUCACUUUCCAACACUGAAGGGUAGACCCUGGUGAAACGAAGACGUCCAGCCAGCUUAGGAGGCAGAAACGGAGCAAGAAAGGGAGCAAAAGCGUUCCGAAGCCAGGCUCUCCCCGGGACGUGAGUGGGGUGGCGGCCAAGUCCUGUUUCCCGGUCCUUGCGCUACAUCUGCUCUUGCAGAGUGGGCCUGGGGAGGCCUUCGGGCUCUCUGGGCGUCAGCCGUGUGCUGGAAUUGCAAAGGCUGGCCCUUCCUGUCUCAAGGCUACGGCGAGGCUCUCCACCGCAUGGAUCUGGGCAAUCCAUGCCUACGAAGGCCGAGGCUGUUUUCGUGGCUAAGGAAGUAGCUAGAACGAGAACAGCAGCAGGCAGCUUGCUUUAUGUGAAUCCCGCACCCUCCAGGAGAGCUACAAGGCAGCAAAUGGGCAGGCAAGUGGCAUCGUUGAGCACCGACUGUAUGCCAGGCAUUCGUCUAGGCCAGGGGCUACAAUUUCUCAUCUAACUGUGCCAAGGGCCCUGCACGGCACAGGGGUUAGGGAACCCGUAUUUUUUUCAGAGGAGGAAAGUGAAGCAAAAUAUCAACCAAGAUCACAUGGCCAGAAGGUGUUUAGAGAUCUACAAAGAAGUCACUGGCAAGUGGUUUGAGGUGAGGGCCGGGGCGAUGGAGAGGCAGGUUCAUUAUGAAACAUGGAUACAAGUCUUCGAGUCAAAAGGAAUAAAUAAGCGGCUGAUUUCCCUGGA
Neofelis nebulosa (Clouded leopard) is the source of this 3783-nucleotide long non-coding RNA. RefSeq lists it as uncharacterized. NCBI's taxonomy places the organism in Eukaryota, Metazoa, Chordata, Mammalia, Carnivora, Felidae. The transcript is spliced from 2 exons. The record is from RefSeq and is a predicted model, not a curated record.